CAAUGGUCAAUGUUUUCUUCAUCAUCAAAAUAACCAUAACUCAACUCCAAUCUUUCCUUCUUUUAAACAAAGAACACGUAUACGAACAUAUAUACUAUUAAUGAAUUCAUUGUUUACAAUUGAUAACUACUCUGUUAGUUAAAUUAAGGAAACCAGUCUCACUUAUUUUUGUCACGAUCACUCCGCCAGAAUUUGAGCAUACAACCGCACAAUUGGUUCAUUCAACUAGAAACCAGGAUCAGAUAAUCAAGCCUAGAACUUAAAACACAAACGCAUUUAAACACUACGGACCCAUUAUCAAAUAUCAAUACCCAACACAUCUACUGAAUCAAUAACCGGGAAUUCACUCAUACCCAUAGAAGCAAGCAAGUCCAUAAUUUCCCUAUCAAAGAGUCGAUUAAACUGAUUCUAACAACAACAUGACAUGCUUCACUAAUUCAAACGACCAAAAAAUCAGAUCUGACUUUAAUCAAACGCAAACAAAAGAAAACAAUUAGACUUGAAAUUACAACAAGAAUUCCAUUCGAUGUCAAAACACACAAAUCAGAAUCGUUAAAAUAAUUAAUCGAUUUUAUUAUUUGACCUCGCGGAGAGAAAAUUUUUGGUGUUUACAGGAAACUUCGAGAAAUUCCUGAUGCCUCCCGCGGAUCGAAUCAGAAAUUAUGCCAACGGAAACCUCGACUAACGGCCUCACGAACUCGCAGCUGAUCAAUAGCCAAGCAGCUUGAAUUGCAGGUCUUCACGAUAACAACGAGAGUCGUGAAACUGUAUUUUUGGCCAAAUUUAACAGUGGUCGCCGGUCAGCUUGCCGCAGAUGGUAACGACCGCUGCUGGAGUUCUUGUUGAAGAUGGACGGUCGAUUUUCUGUGUAUUUGCUCUUACGUCCUUAGGAUUUAUUUAUCAAUUAAGGGUCAAAUAUAUCCUUG
RNAcentral lists this long non-coding RNA (926 nucleotides) under Nicotiana benthamiana. Its description in RNAcentral is "long non-coding RNA (NBEN_LNC038155)". The record is from RNAcentral. Lineage: Eukaryota; Viridiplantae; Streptophyta; Magnoliopsida; Solanales; Solanaceae.